GAGAUUUUACCAAGUUUUUUUGUUGCAAUAAAAUUUGAGGUAUUCUUAUUAAAAUUGAGGUUAUUUCUGGAGAAAAUGGUAAUAAGAUAAAUCAACAGGAGCUAAAGUAAGCCAAAGGAAAACAUAAUGAAAGCAUUCUGUAGUGUGGUUUAGAGAACUCACAGUGCCAAGUGUCUUGCGAGUGGGACAAGGAACGGGAAAGCCUGCGGGAACUUCCAACAGCGCCCCCCGGAUGUGAGUUUGUCUUCGGUGAGUAUGGCUGCCUGGUAUAUUUGUCAUGAUGGGCAGGUCUGUGUUUCUGUAUGUUCAUCUGUAUGGAUGUGGAUGUGUCUUGUACGAGAGAGUAAGGGGAGGUCAUUUUCUUUCUCUUGUCUUCAUGCUUUAUUCUUCUCUCUGGGCAGAUAAGAUCGCAGGGCACCUCAGUACACCUGGAGGGAAAAGAAAACUCCUCAAGCUAAGGUUUACAGUUUGGAUCCAAGUGUAUACAGGAAUUCACUGGCUGUUUCCUACUUGGAUUAGCUAUCCCCUCUGCAGUUUUCAUGAUAUAUCCUCCAACGGAUCCAGAUCCUAUCUGCAGGGGAGAAAUCACAUUCAGAGUGGGGAAAAAUGCCUGGGAGAAGAUAAAGACUGACUCCAGAAAAGGAACAGCAUUUACACUGGACAGGAGAGGUAUUCAGAAGAGAAAGGAUUACAUGCUGAAUAAAGGUCUUCCCCACGAGAAGGG
RNAcentral lists this long non-coding RNA (724 nucleotides) under Mustela putorius furo (domestic ferret). Its description in RNAcentral is "lncRNA (ENSMPUG00000027371.1)". Lineage: Eukaryota; Metazoa; Chordata; Mammalia; Carnivora; Mustelidae. The record is from RNAcentral.